GACGAACGCUGGCGGCGUGCUUAACACAUGCAAGUCGAACGAAAAGGCCCUGCUUUUGUGGGGUGCUCGAGUGGCGAACGGGUGAGUAACACGUGAGUAACCUGCCCUUGACUUUGGGAUAACUUCAGGAAACUGGGGCUAAUACCGGAUAGGAGCUCCUGCUGCAUGGUGGGGGUUGGAAAGUUUCGGCGGUUGGGGAUGGACUCGCGGCUUAUCAGCUUGUUGGUGGGGUAGUGGCUUACCAAGGCUUUGACGGGUAGCCGGCCUGAGAGGGUGACCGGCCACAUUGGGACUGAGAUACGGCCCAGACUCCUACGGGAGGCAGCAGUGGGGAAUAUUGCACAAUGGGCGGAAGCCUGAUGCAGCAACGCCGCGUGCGGGAUGACGGCCUUCGGGUUGUAAACCGCUUUCGCCUGUGACGAAGCGUGAGUGACGGUAAUGGGUAAAGAAGCGCCGGCUAACUACGUG
RNAcentral lists this ribosomal RNA (468 nucleotides) under uncultured bacterium. RNAcentral describes it as "partial 16S ribosomal RNA". It matches the Rfam family "Bacterial small subunit ribosomal RNA", at positions 28 to 507 of the family's 1533-position model. The record is from RNAcentral.